This is a long non-coding RNA of Salmo trutta (river trout), 1347 nucleotides long. NCBI's taxonomy places the organism in Eukaryota, Metazoa, Chordata, Actinopteri, Salmoniformes, Salmonidae. The record is from Ensembl.
AUGAUAGCAAAUUUCAAUUUACAAAAAAAAACAACGUUUUCGUCUUUUGAACUUCUAGUCAUGAAAUCUAUGCAGCCUACUCAAUCUCUUUUUAUAGCUACUGCUUACAGGCCUCCUGCGCCAUAUACAGCGUUCCCUGAAUUCCUAUCGGACCUUGCAGUCAUAGCAGAUAAUAUUCUAAUUUUUGGUGACUUUAAUAUUCACAUGGAAAAGUCCACAGACCCACUCCAAAAGGCUUUCGGAGCCAUCAUCGACUCAGUGGGUUUUGUCCAACAUGUCUCCGGACCUACUCACUGCCACAGUCAUACUCUGGACCUAGUUUUGUCCCAUGGAAUAAAUGUUGUGGAUCUUAAUGUUUUUCCUCAUAAUCCUGGACUAUCGGACCACCAUUUUAUUACGUUUGCAAUUGCAACAAAUAAUCUGCUCAGACCCCAACCAAGGAUCAUCAAAUGUCGUGCUAUAAAUUCUCAGACAACCCAAAGAUUCCUAGAUGCCCUUCCAGACUCCCUCCGCCUACCCAAGGACGUCAGAGUACAAAAAUCAGUUAACCACCUAACUGAGGAACUCAAUUUAACCUUGCGCAAUACCCUAGAUGCAGUCGCACCCCUAAAAACAAAAAACAUUUGUCAUAAGAAACUAGCUCGCUGGUAUACAGAAAAUACCCGAGCUCUGAAGCCAGCAUCCAGAAAAUUGGAACGGAAAUGGCGCCACACCAAACUGGAAGUCUUCCGACUAGCUUGGAAAGACAGUACCGUGCAGUAUCGAAGAGCCCUCACUGCUGCUCGAUCAUCCUAUUUUUCCAACUUAAUUGAGGAAAAUAAGAACAAUCCUACAUUUCUUUUUGAUACUGUCGCAAAGCUAACUAAAAAUCAGCAUUCCCCAAGAGAGGAUGGCUUUCACUUCAGCAGUGAUAAAUUCAUUAACUUCUUUGAGGAAAAGAUCAUGAUCAUUAGAAAGCAAAUUACAGACUCCUUUUUAAAUCUGCGUAUUCCUCCAAAGCUCUGUUGUCCUGAGUCUGCACAACUCUGCCAGGACCUAGGAUCAAGGGAGACACUAAAGUGUUUUAGUACUAUAUCUCUUGACACAAUGAUGAAAAUAAUCAUGGCUGCUAAACCUUCAAGCUGCAUACUGGACCCUAUUCCAACUAAACUACUGAAAGAGCUGCUUCCUGUGCUUGGCCCUCCUAUGUUGAACAUAAUAAACGGCUCUCUAUCCACCGGAUGUGUACCAAACUCACUAAAAGUGGCAGUAAUAAAGCCUCUCUUGAAAAAGCCAAACCUUGAACCAGAAAAUAUUUUAAAAACUAUCAGCCUAUAUCGAAUCUCCCAUUCAUCUGAAAAAUGUUAG